RNAcentral lists this ribosomal RNA (402 nucleotides) under uncultured bacterium. RNAcentral describes it as "bacterial SSU rRNA". It matches the Rfam family "Bacterial small subunit ribosomal RNA", at positions 356 to 773 of the family's 1533-position model. The record is from RNAcentral.
GGGGAAUAUUGCACAAUGGGCGAAAGCCUGAUGCAGCAACGCCGCGUGAAGGAUGAAGGCUUUCGGGUCGUAAACUUCUGUCCUUGGGGAAGAAAAAAAUGACGGUACCCAUGGAGGAAGCCCCGGCUAACUACGUGCCAGCAGCCGCGGUAAUACGUAGGGGGCGAGCGUUAUCCGGAAUUAUUGGGCGUAAAGAGUGCGUAGGUGGUUACCUAAGCGCAGGGUUUAAGGCAAUGGCUCAACCAUUGUUCGCCUUGCGAACUGGGCUACUUGAGUGCAGGAGAGGAAAGCGGAAUUCCUAGUGUAGCGGUGAAAUGCGUAGAUAUUAGGAGGAACACCAGUGGCGAAGGCGGCUUUCUGGACUGUAACUGACACUGAGGCACGAAAGCGUGGGGAGCAAAC